RNAcentral lists this ribosomal RNA (615 nucleotides) under uncultured bacterium. Its description in RNAcentral is "bacterial SSU rRNA". It matches the Rfam family "Bacterial small subunit ribosomal RNA", at positions 67 to 701 of the family's 1533-position model. The record is from RNAcentral.
AUUAAACUUCCCUUCGGGAAGAUAUAAAGUGGCGCACGGGUGAGUAACACGUAGGUAAUCUACCUUUGAGUGGGGAAUAACAAUCGGAAACGAUUGCUAAUACCGCAUAAUGCAGCGGCACCUAAUGGUGACAGUUGUUAAAGGAGCAAUCCGCUUAAAGAGGAGCCUGCGGCAGAUUAGCUUGUUGGUAAGGUAAUGGCUUACCAAGGCUACGAUCUGUAACCGACCUGAGAGGGUGGUCGGUCACACUGACACUGAAUAACGGGUCAGACUCCUACGGGAGGCAGCAGUCGGGAAUUUUGGGCAAUGGGCGAAAGCCUGACCCAGCAACGCCGCGUGAAGGAUGAAGUCUUUCGGGAUGUAAACUUCGUAAGAAUGGGAAGAAUAAAUGACGGUACCAUUUGUAAGGUCCGGCUAACUACGUGCCAGCAGCCGCGGUAAUACGUANGGACCAAGCGUUGUUCGGAUUUACUGGGCGUAAAGGGCGCGUAGGCGGCGAAUCAAGUCAGCUGUGAAAUCUCCGAGCUUAACUCGGAACGGUCAGCUGAUACUGUUUUGCUAGAGUGCAGAAGGGCAACCGGAUUCUUGGUGUACNGUGAAUGCGUANAUAUCAAA